Molecule: ribosomal RNA, 466 nt
Filed under: uncultured bacterium
Lineage: Bacteria
Description: partial 16S ribosomal RNA
Rfam family: Bacterial small subunit ribosomal RNA
Source: RNAcentral
GACGAACGCUGGCGGCGUGCUUAACACAUGCAAGUCGAACGGUAAGGCUCCAGCUUGCUGGGGUACACGAGUGGCGAACGGGUGAGUAACACGUGGGUGACCUGCCCUGCACUUCGGGAUAAGCCUGGGGAACUGGGUCUAAUACCGGAUAGGACCAUGGUGUGGAUACUGUGGUGGAAAGUUUUUUCGGUGUGGGAUGGGCCCGCGGCCUAUCAGCUUGUUGGUGGGGUAAUGGCCUACCAAGGCGGCGACGGGUAGCCGGCCUGAGAGGGUGGACGGCCACAUUGGGACUGAGACACGGCCCAGACUCCUACGGGAGGCAGCAGUGGGGAAUAUUGCACAAUGGGCGGAAGCCUGAUGCAGCGACGCCGCGUGGGGGAUGACGGCCUUCGGGUUGUAAACUCCUUUCACCAUCGACGAAGGGUUUCUGACGGUAGAUGGAGAAGAAGCACCGGCUAACUACGUG